This 465-nucleotide ribosomal RNA is filed under the name uncultured bacterium. RNAcentral describes it as "partial 16S ribosomal RNA". It matches the Rfam family "Bacterial small subunit ribosomal RNA", at positions 28 to 507 of the family's 1533-position model. The record is from RNAcentral.
GACGAACGCUGGCGGCGUGCUUAACACAUGCAAGUCGAACGGAAAGGCCCCUUUGGGGGUACUCGAGUGGCGAACGGGUGAGUAACACGUGAGUAACCUGCCCUUGACUUCGGGAUAACUUCAGGAAACUGGGGCUAAUACCGGAUAGGAAUCCUUGCUGCAUGGUGGGGGUUGGAAAGCUUCGGCGGUUUUGGAUGGACUCGCGGCUUAUCAGCUUGUUGGUGGGGUAGUGGCUUACCAAGGCUUUGACGGGUAGCCGGCCUGAGAGGGCGACCGGCCACAGUGGGACUGAGAUACGGCCCAGACUCCUACGGGAGGCAGCAGUGGGGAAUAUUGCACAAUGGGCGGAAGCCUGAUGCAGCAACGCCGCGUGCGGGAGGACGGCCUUCGGGUUGAAAACCGCUUUCAGCAGGGGCGAAGCUUGUGGUGACGGUACCUGCAGAAGAAGCACCGGCUAACUACGUG